UACGGAGGGUGCAAGCGUUAUUCGGAAUUAUUGGGCGUAAAGGGCGCGUAGGCGGCUUUAUAAGUCAGAUGUGAAAUCCCGGAGCUUAACUCCGGAAGUGCAUUUGAUACUGUAAGGCUUGAGUAUGGGAGAGGGUAGCGGAAUUCCUGGUGUAGAGGUGAAAUUCGUAGAUAUCAGGAGGAACACCGGUGGCGAAGGCGGCUACCUGGACCAAUACUGACGCUGAGGCGCGAAGGCGUGGGGAGCAAACAGGAUUAGAUACCCUGGUAGUCCACGCAGUAAACGUUGAUCACUAGGUGUAGCGGGUAUUGACCCCUGCUGUGCCGCAGCUAACGCAUUAAGUGAUCCGCCUGGGAAGUACGGCCGCAAGGCUAAA
This 376-nucleotide ribosomal RNA is filed under the name uncultured bacterium. Its description in RNAcentral is "bacterial SSU rRNA". It matches the Rfam family "Bacterial small subunit ribosomal RNA", at positions 524 to 898 of the family's 1533-position model. The record is from RNAcentral.